GACCUUUACUACAGUUUGAUAUUGGUGUUCGGUUCGGCUUGUGUAGGAUAGGUGGGAGACUGUGAAGCGGGCACGCCAGUGUUCGUGGAGUCAACGUUGAAAUACCACUCUGGUCGUGCUGGAUGUCUAACCUCGGUCCGUGAUCCGGAUCAGGGACAGUGUCUGAUGGGUAGUUUAACUGGGGCGGUUGCCUCCCAAAGGGUAACGGAGGCGCCCAAAGGUUCCCUCAGCCUGGUUGGUAAUCAGGUGUUGAGUGUAAGUGCACAAGGGAGCUUGACUGUGAGACCGACGGGUCGAGCAGGGACGAAAGUCGGGACUAGUGAUCCGGCGGUGGCUUGUGGAAGCGCCGUCGCUCAACGGAUAAAAGGUACCCCGGGGAUAACAGGCUGAUCUUCCCCAAGAGUCCAUAUCGACGGGAUGGUUUGGCACCUCGAUGUCGGCUCGUCGCAUCCUGGGGCUGGAGUCGGUCCCAAGGGUUGGGCUGUUCGCCCAUUAAAGCGGUACGCGAGCUGGGUUUAGAACGUCGUGAGACAGUUCGGUCCCUAUCCUCUGUGCGCGUAGGAAUAUUGAGAAGGGCUGUCCCUAGUACGAGAGGACCGGGACGGACGAACCUCUGGUGUGCCAGUUGUCCUGCCAAGGGCAUGGCUGGUUGGCUACGUUCGGAAAGGAUAACCGCUGAAAGCAUCUAAGCGGGAAGCCUGCUUCGAGAUGAGUAUUCCCACCCCCUUUGAGGGGUUAAGGCUCCCAGUAGACGACUGGGUUGAUAGGCCAGAUCUGGAAGCCCGGUAACGGGUGGAGGUGACUGGUACUAAUAGGCCGAGGGCUUGUCCUCAGUUG
RNAcentral lists this ribosomal RNA (837 nucleotides) under Streptomyces sp. SID335. RNAcentral's name for it is "partial 23S ribosomal RNA". It matches the Rfam family "Bacterial large subunit ribosomal RNA", at positions 2096 to 2925 of the family's 2925-position model. Lineage: Bacteria; Bacillati; Actinomycetota; Actinomycetes; Kitasatosporales; Streptomycetaceae. The record is from RNAcentral.